UACGCCAACUUCAGCAGUUCUUUGCAGAGCACAGCGGAGUGCUCGUCCUCCACGCAACGCAGCAUCAAUCUGAUCCCCUGCUUCGGCGCCGGCGGCUUGAGAUAUAUCGUCAUCGCGACGAUGUUCACAUCAUCAUUCAGCGGGAAAACGUAGCUCGGCUCCCCCCACCCGUAGUCGACCUUGUUGAAGCCGAGACGGCUCCAAUCCGACACGGUUAGCGUGCCGUAGUCCAGCGGCAUGUUGUAGUGGUUGUCCUUGGCCCCUCCAUUCACCCAGUCGACGAACCGCGUCGAGAGCGCCUCCUUCGCGUCCCUGAUCAUGGCCACGAUCUCGACGAUCGAUGCGUUGUCGAUCUCCUCGCUCGUCCUCGUGAUCCCCGCGGGGUACACGCAGUUGCCGUAGUAGCCUUCGACCGACGGCAGCACGCGGUGCAGCAGGUGGCGGGUGCUGGCCGCGAAGCACAGGCGGACCUCGGCAUCGGGGGGUAGGUUGAUGGCCUUGGCGCGGCACUUGUAGAGCAUCGCAGUGACGACGUCGAAGGUCGAGCACUUGUCACCCGUGGCGGCUGUGAAGUCAUUCUUGGUGCAGUUGAUGCUCUCCGAUGAGAUCUCGAUCACGGAGAUGACGAAUUUGAAGGCCGUGAAGGACGGCGGCGGGCCACUGCAGGGGAUCUUGGGGGGGUCCGGAAUGGCUUCGCGGGACCAGACGGGCGCGACCGACGGCUCCGGGAGGCCUCUCGCCAUCUCGCCUACGGCUUUCAGGAAAUGGGCCGCACCCUGGCCGUCGAACACCAGGUGGUUGAAGCAGAUGCCGACCGUGAUUCCGCCGCACUUGAAUACCGUCACCUGAGGUUAGAUAGUUGACCUAUGUGACAUCGGAGGAAUAAAGGUUUGCACUGAAUAUUCUAAGUUUCAAAAGCAAAAGCUACCACACCAAUACAAAAGUUGUACAUUAUCAAAUACCAAAACAAAACUGUAGGAUAAAUUAUAAAAUUUUUUCCUUAAAUACUUAAAUAAUAUUAUAACACUAAUAAAGUCAAAUUAGGAUGGCUACAUCUGUCAGAGCCGAGAGUUUUGCUCCGCUGAGCUCGCAUUUUCCUGGGAAAAAUGAAUGGUAGACUAGCAUGCAUCUGUCUUUAUUGAAAGCCGAGGCCCUACUUCCUGUCAAACCGGUCCCACAAGCUAACCAAAAUAAUCGGGUUAGAAUUUAGAAAAUAACUCAAACCCGAAAAUUGAAGUGAUUGCGAGAGAUCUUUGCCAAAAGAUCAGCUGAAUUAAAAAAAUCUCACUACAAACAAGAUCCGAUGUUGUCGGAUUUGGAUCCAAGCUAUUUAUGUGGAUUAACCAAACCGGAUUCGUUAACACUCCUCCAUGGCUCUAUUCACAAGGGAAUACUCCAUAUAGUUCGCAUCACGGGCAACAAUAACGGGUAUUAAGAAGGAUCCAACAAUGCGCAAUGAGCUAGUGAUUAGAAGCUCGUUCGCUUUUGCGAGCCCUUGAAACUUGCCCUGCUAUUUCAGAUGCAAACUCUAUAUUUUCAUGUCUAUAAUAACAAUAAGAUAAAACUUCAAAAACUCUCCUUGUGGUUUCGCACUUUCUCACUCCAGUGCCCUGUGGUUUAAAAUGUAUUAAUUUGGUGCUCUGUGAUUUUAUUUUUAUCUUUUUAUUAUCAAUUUUACUAUUUUUUUCUUAAAUCAGUGACAAAGUUAAAAUUAAAAUUAAAGAAUAUUAAAGUAAAUAUUCGAUAAAUCUAUGUGGGUAUUUUAAGUUUUUUUUUUAUAUAAUUUAACAAAAUAUUAACGAAAAAGCUAUAGAAAAAAUAAAAAUAAAACCAUAGGGCACCAAAUUAAUACACUUUAAACCACAGGGUAUUCAAGUGAGAAAGUGGGAAACCACACGGGAGUUUUUGAAGUUUUUCCUAACAAUAUAUUAGUCACUCUAUCGUAAAGAGUAAAAUAGUUAUCCUAUAAGAAAUAUUGAUUAUCUUGGCCUUUUUGCAUAAAAAAUUCAUUUAUUUUGGGCUUUUGCAAAAUCGGGUCAUCUUUUUCGUUUUUGCAGAUUCGGUCCGCUUUUUCAGCAAACUGACCAAAAUACCCUUAUUACUUUUUCUCUUUCCUCUUUCUCUCUCCUCUUCGUUCUCUCGUUCUUUUUUUUUUCUUUCCGCCGCGGACACCCCGUCGGGCCGUUUCUUUUUUUUUUUUUUUUCUCUCUUCCUGCCCUGGAGCACUUUUUUUUUUUCCCGUCUAUCCUUCUUCUUUUCUCUAUCUUCUUCUUCCUAGUAAGAGCAGGGGCGCGCCACGGCUGAUUUCGUCGGCCUCGCAAGGCGCGUCACUCCGGCGCGGUUCUGCAGGGAGGGGUCCGCACCGGCGACCGAGCGUCGCAGCGAGGGUGGGGGCGCGGCAAGGCGGGCGGGCGAGGUGGAGCGGGGUGUCGCAGCCUGGGGACGUCGCGCCGGUCGGCGCUGUCACGCGCGCCGCCCGCCGCUCCGCUCCAGCCUCGGCCGCCGUCAGCGAUCUCUGACGGCCUGCUCAUAUUUUUGUAAUGGUGUAAUGGAGUGCCCGCGGUCGUGGCAGGCAGCCAGCGCGCGGGCAGGCACUGCGGGCGCGCUGCGGCUGCUUUCUUCUCGUCGUAAAUGGUGUAAUGGUGCACCAUUACACCAUAUAAUUGGUGAAAUUACACCAUUCACACUUAAUCUGGUUGAAAUACACCAUUACAACUGGUGUAAUUUCACCCAUUAAUGCACGCGGCCCCACGGAUCGACCCGCAGGUGGACUCCGCGGGCCAGCGCCGCCGAUGGGCUCCUCGAAGGGGAGCAGAACACCCGCGAGAGGUUGGUGAGGAGAUGUCGAGGGACGCGAGGGCGCUGGGACCCGGGCCGCGCGGGGAGCAGACCAUUCCCCGCGCCAACGAACGCGCAGGGUCUGACAGCUGGCGUUGGACGACUGAUCGCGAGCGCCAGGACGGUGCCCGAGCGCCGACCUCACCGCAACAGAAGCGCCGCCACCUUCCGGCCGCCGCCGCGGUGACGCCCUCCUCCGCGUGCCGCCGCCUGAGGAUGACGACGAAGAAAAGAAGAUAUCAAUUGAAAUCAUAUUUAUUGACAUUAAUAGUUUGAUGCAGGUGUCUAUUAAUUCGUUCAUAUUGACGUAUACUACAAGUUACGAGUAUGAAGAAAUGCUUGAGUUUUCAUGAUUAAAUUAUCUAUUGCAUACUUUUUUUUCUCUGCUUCCUCACGAAAACUUAAUAUCUUGUCCUACAUAUCUAUUUGGUAAAAGGACAUGUAGGUAUAUGGAAAUUCUAAAUACCUGGUUGGUAAUUAAAUAACAGUAGCUGGAGAUAUCUCUAAUAUGUCCUAGAAUUAGUUGGGUCGGCACUACCUGUACCAGAAGAAAUUUUUAACAAAAUCUAAUAAUUGCAGCAAAGUUUGUUUUCUUUCUUUAGCUGGUCCUCUUAAACAACUAAUUUUAACGUUUAUCAGAGAGAUGAUCCAGCACAGACCUCCUAUAAUCAAGUUGAGUGUACAUGUUGCGACAUUGUGCUGUGGGAGGCGUCAUCCCGGAAUGCUCCCAUUUGCAAACAUGACAGCUGCCAGGUCUUGCAUUCGCUGAUAGUGGAACAAGGCGUCCCGCCGCGAUUAAUCUCCGCAUGAUUGCCUCCCUGCUCUUGCGAGAUUCAACUUCUCCGUUUCUUCUCUCGUCGUCGUCCAUCGGCGGCGCGCGCGGAGAGGGUCGGCCGGCGGCGGCCGGAUGGUGGCGACGGCUUCGUGGUGAGAGUCGGCACUCGCAACCCGUCGGGCGCGCUCGCGUCGGGUCCACCCAGCUCGUUGGAGCCUGCGCGUCGUGGCGGCGGGUGAUCCUGUCCCCCCGUGCGGCCCGGGUCGCAGCGCGCCGUCGCAUCCCUCGACAUCUUCCUGCCUCAACUCUCUCCGCGGGUUUCCUGCUCCCUUCGGGAGGCGCCUCGCUGGCUGCCCGCGGAGUCCACCGCGCGGCUCUGCUCCGCGGGCCACGUGCACCGUUAAUGGUAAUAUAUUACACCAUUAUACCAUAAUGGUGUAAUGGUUGUAAUUUACACCCAUUAAUGGUGUAAAUGGUGCAACACAUUACACCAUUACCGAGCGGAAGAAGAGCAGCAGCGCGCACCGCGUGCUCGCCCGCCGCAGCUACAUGCCCGCACCCGUGCACCAUUAACACCAUUAGCGAAGAAGAAGAAGCCGCCGUCGAGAUCGGCGGCGGCGGCCGACGCCGCCCCGGCAGCGCCGUGACCGGCGCGUGGACCGCAGCCCUCGACCGGCGCAAAUGUCCCAGCUGCGACAUCCCCGUCUUCCCACCUCGCCCGCCGCGGCUCCCGCGCGCCUUCCACCGCUCGCUGGCAGCGUCAGCGUCGCGGUGCGACCCCUCCCUGGCAGAAUGCUUCGCCGGUGGCGACGCCAACUGCUUGGCAGGACCGUGAAGUCGCCGUGGCGCGCGCCCGUGGCUCCUUAUACAAGGAAUAGAAGACCGAAGAAGAAAGAAGAAAAGAAAAAGAAGAGGGAAAAAAAAAAGUACUCGCAGGAGGAAGAAGAAGAAAAAAAGAAAAAGAACGAGAGAAAAAAACAAAAAAAAAAAACGCACGCUCCUGACGGGUCCGCGGCGGGAAAAAAAAAACGAGAGAACGAAGAGGGGAGAGAAAGAGAAAGAGAAAAAGUAAUGAAGAGUAUUUGGUCAGUUUGCUGAAAAAAAGGAGCCGAAUCUGUAAAAACGAAAAGAUGACCUGAUUUGCAAAGCAAAUAAGUGAAUUUUUAUAAAAAAAAGGCGAUUAUCUUUUAAAUUGUAAAAAACUAAAAAUGCGUUGUGCUAUUAUGAUGGGAAGUAAAAGGGACUAUAUUUAAAGUUUACGUUUGAGAUUAUCAACGCAAAUAGUUUCUGAAACGACACUAAAGAAGAUUCUGAUGAACCAGUACUCCAAAUUAAACAUCGCAAAUAUUAGAUCGGAUCUGACCUUGCGCCAUGAGGAUUGGUGUCCCUCGGAGCUUCACCUCGGGGGAGGGCGAGGGAGGAGCUCCUCUCUAGGGAUAUGAGGGGGCGCUCGGAGCUGGUUAACUGUCGUCGCAAGGGCGCAUCGGCCUCGGCUCCAGAACCAGAUCCCGUCGCCCGAGGCAACUCGACAUGGCGCGCCGCGAGACGCUUCGACGAUCCUCCUCGGCGUAAGGGGGAAGUAGGGGACGAGGGCGCGGCGAAGCCCUUCUGCAUGCGGUGAAGGCGGCGGCGGCGCCGCCGCCGCCGCCGUGAGGGAGAAACCGUGGAUGAAUUCGACACUGGAGACACGCGAGUUGACGGCGCGGUCGAUGGAGGAGAGGGGAGGAGGAGCGUCGAGGAUCGGGUCGGCGACGCGGGGGGGACGAGGUCGGAGGGACUUGUCACCGCGGGCUCGAUGGCGAUCGAGCUCUUUGGGGGCCAUGAAAUGGGGAGUGGAGAUGGAGAUGGAGAGUGGGGAUUAAUGGGGGAUUGGAGAGAGGAAACAGGGAAGGGGUGAAUGAAUGAGAGCCUACGGACGGUUGACAAUGGUGUGUAUCUAGUGAAGACCCGCGGAAUAUUUGCAGACGUAAAAUAAUUUAUUAAUAUUUAAAUUAAUUUUGAAAAAAUAAGUUAACUGACCUAAAAUUAUUUUGAAAUAAAAUAAUUUAAAUUGAUAUAUUGCCUCAUAUAAAUUUUUUUUAUAUGAAAUAUAUUAGUAAUCAAAUUGUAGAAAAAUAUAUGGGAAAAAAAGAUAAAGGAAUAAUGAAUAAUUUAAAAAUUUUAUUUACAUUAAAAUUUUACUAAAUUUAAUAGAUAUACAGUAUACUAAACUUUACUUAUUAGUUAUUUAAUUGUUAUUUAGCACAAGAAUUAAAAUUAUUGAAGUUUUGUCAUUGUUUUAUUAAAAUUUAAUAAUAUUUGAUUUAAAACAAUUACAUUAUCAUAAAAAUCAAAAAAAUAAGACUUUAUUUUUAAAAAAAUGAGAGGUCUAUCUAUAAGCAAUCUAAUAGUUGAGAGGUUCUCAGCGUCAUUUUUAACACAAAAAAAUAUUCACCCACGUGAGAGUCCAUAAAGUCUCUCUAAUUUUUUAAAGCGAAUUUUAAACAUAUCCUUAGGGUAGAUGAACACUUAUAUCUAGAGAUAAUGAAUAUUCAACAUAUUUUCUGUAGGCUGGUCAUCAUCACACCAAUAGAUUGGCGGUCAUUAUCAUACUUUCAAAUCAAAAUAAUUUUCUGAAAGGUAACGCUUUAGAUUAGGUUUUAGCAAAGUGCUGUCGAUGUAUUUCUAAAUGGAAUUGUGAUAGUCGCUUGGUAGUAUUGAAUAAGUAGGCAUCCUUGCUCUGCGAAACCGAAUCCACAUUAAUAUGACGGGAGUAGAUUAAUCGAGUCAUAUUUUUGAAGUGACAUAUAGGCUGGUUAAAAUUAAGUUAUAUAUCGAAAUAUGUGAAGUACUGUAUCUGUAAGCUUAAGAAAAUUUAUUGUUUACUUACAUAAUUUUGAGUUUUGGGAUUAUUAUUAGUGCCAGAAUAGAUGCGGCAAUAAUGAUUCUAAUGAUGAGAAAUUACCAAAAUAAAUUGCCUAGUAGUUACUUAUUAGGCAUAUAUUUGUUUAAAACAAAUUUAAAUUUAUAAUAGUAUUUGGAAAUUUCUAGUUUUGAUACAUAUGUGUAAUUUAUAUCAAUUCAUUGUUAUUCUGAAUAAAGCAGCGAAUUUAUAUCAUCCAACCUAAAUUUAGCAGUAUCUAUAUGUCGCAGCACUUUGACCUGUAAAUAGUACAUGACCAAUCAAAAUUAAAUAAGCAACUUAUUUAAAUACCACUAGGUACGGGGAAUAAUGUACAAAGUUAAGAGGUUAUUUUGCAUCUUUGUGGACAUGUUUCUAUAUUAUUGGUGCACCUGGUGCACUAUGGACCAAUAAAAAUAUGGACUUUUAAUUUUAAAUGAAUAUAAUAAAUAAUUAUUUUAUAAAUAUUAACUAAUUAUAGGUACAUUUCAAAUACUGUAAAUAUAGAAUUGAAUAAUUAAUUUAAAUUUUGACAUCGUCAAUUGUACCACAUUAUUCUGCCCAAAAUCUGUCCGUGGCAAAUUCUCUGCGUGUAGGCAUCUCGCCGGCAAAGUUUCCUGCUUAGAUGUCUAUUCUUUUCUCUCAAGCUAUAAUACAUUUUGUUACGGAAUGCGUGGACACGUNNNNNNNNNNNNNNNNNNNNNNNNNAUAGGCAUAUAUUUUUUAAAAAAAUUUAAAUUUAUAAGUAGAUAUUUGGAAUUUGCUAUUUUGAGUAACAUAUGUGUAAUUUAUAUCAAUUCAUUUUAUUCUUGAAUAAAGCACGAAUUUAUAUCAAUCCAAAUAAAUUUAGCGUAUCUAAUGUCGCACACUUUGACCUGUAAUAGUACAUGACCAACAAAAUUAAAAAGCAACUUAUUAAAUACACUAGGUACGGGGAAUAAUGUACAAAGUUAAGAGGAGCAUCUUUUGUGGAUAUGUUUCUAUUUUAUUGGUGCACCUGGUGCACUAUGGACCCAAUAAAAAUAUGUGAUUUUAUUUUAAUGAAUAUAAUAAAAAAUUUAUAAAUAUUAAUAUAUAGACAUUUCAAAUACUGUAAAAUAAAUUGAAUUAAUUAAUUUAAAUUUUGACAUCUCAAUUGUACCAAUUUAUUCUGCCCAAAAUCUGCCUGGCACAUUCUUGCGUGUAGCAUGCUCCGGCAAGUUUCUGCUAGAUGUCUAUUCUUUCUCUCAGCUAUACCAUUUUGUUACGGAGUGCGUGGACACGUAAGCUGUCUCCUUAUUUUGCACUCUCGCAUAUAAGCUGAGAACUCUGCUGAAAUAUAUUCACCUCCAUCAUCCGUACGCAGGCAUCGUAUUUUAUAACCGGUUUGGCCUUCAACUUUUUUUUAAAAUUCUUUAAAUUUUUGUAGCACUUCAGAUUUUUCUUUAAUAAAGUAUACCCAGACGUACCUUGAGAAGUCAUCAAUGAACGUCACUAUGUAGCGCAUGCCGCUAAUUGAUGUUUGCUUGACUGGUCCAAAAACAUCAGAGUGCACGAACUCAAGCGGUACCUUGGCUCUAUAUUUGGAUUUAGUGUAGGAAAGUUGAUGAGCCUUACCAAACUGGCAUCCUGCGCAGAUUGUGUUUCCUCAUACUUCAAGUUGAGGUAAGCCCUUAAGCAUACUGCGCUCCAUUAUAAUUUUUAGUUUGUGAUAGGUCACAUGUCCCAGUCUUGCAUGCCACAAAUCAGCAGUCUCAUUUUUUCGAGUCUUCUCUACGUAUGCUGAUUCUGCAGACAUUACGUAUAUAGACUCUACUUUCUUUCCUUCCAUGAUUUGUAUACCUGAUAUAUUAGGACUGCGAAAUAUCUUGACAUCUUACGGCCCAAAUACUACAUAAUUGCCCGAUGCAGUCAAUUGUGAUACUGAUAAGAGAUUUUUCUUCAUACCUGGGACAUGGUAGACGUUCUGUAGUUGUACUUGAUGUAGGCUGAAUCUGGGUGUGGUGAUUGUCUUUCCUAUAUGAGUGAUUGGUAGCUUCGAGUUGUUAGUUGUCACCACUACUCUUUCUCCUUUAUAUUCUGUUGUGCUGAGCAGCUUGUCUCUAUCACCGGUCAUAUGAUUGGAAUAUCCAGAAUCGAUGAUCCAAUCUGUAUUGUAAUUCACCUCUCUUGGAUUUUCUAUUGUUGUGAGUGCAUACACUGGUACCUGUUUUAGUAGCUUUUCCUUCUUAGCACAUGGCGUCAUUUUCUCUGCAGCAGUGUCUUCUGACCUUUAUUCUUUGAGAGCCUCCUCAGUGUCUAACUGACAAUCUUCUUUUGACUCUAUGAUGGCGAAGGAGGCUUCAGCAUCCCACUCUUCUUCAUUUUUGUAUGCUGCUUGGUGGUCACCUGACGUUGCCAUAUUGCCUUAUACUUGUUUCUUCUUGUGCCAACAGUCUCGGGCGAAGUGUCAUUUCUUGCUGCAAUUGUAACACUCUCCGCUUCGUCGUCUGUCGCCUUUAAACUGCCAGGUAUUUUGCUCCAUCUGGUUGUAGACUCUCCCUGUAAUGUGGCUCUCUCCCAACCUUUGUUUUGACCCACUGAACUCCUUCAGCGGUUUCACAUUUCUUGGCCCUCCUGUUGCUCGACCUUUUCUUCUACUGCUAAAGAGUGCCUCAUCUUCAGUUUUUAGUAAGACUCCGGCCAUCUGUUUGACUAGAGCCUCCUGAUUAGCUAGUAAAUUUUCUAGCUCCACCAACGUUGGUUGAGUGGGCCAACCUCGAAUAGCAGUAAUGAACCCGUUAUAUUCGGGUUUUAGGCCGUGAAUAAUAAUUCUCUUCAUCCGCUGGUCACUAAUUUUUGACUCUGGAUCUAAUUGGAAAAUUUCACGGCAGAGAGAUUUUACCUUCAUUAAGUACUGGCUAAUCGUCAUGCUGCCCUGAGAUAUCGUCAUCAGCUCAUUUUCCAGUAGUUGAAGUCGAGCAUUAUUCUUCUUUGAAAAUAACGAGGCGAGGGUGUCCCAUGCAGCCUUGGGUGCAUCUGCUUCCUUGACAUGCUCCGGCAGCUCUUCUUCGAUUGUCGUCUUCAGGACGAAUAUCGCCUUCCCUGCCUUGAUACGCCACUUUCUGAACGCUUCUGCAUUCUCCUUCGGUGGUGGAGUUGUUUCAGCACCACCGAUUACCUCCCAUAGAUCCUGCCCCUGUAGGUAGAACUCGAUGCAGAUUUGCCAAUAACCAUAAUUAUGGUUAUUUAGCUUAUUAAUUCCGCUAGUUGUACCAGCAAGAUCUGCCAUAGUGACUUGGUGAUUACCCAACAGUGAACUAAGUAAGUCUGGUCCCAGACCAACCAACUUCACAGUCCCAAACUGUACACCAGCAAAAUCUCUGCUUAUAUCGGUAUUUAACUGUCUGGACUGGCAGAAUAUCACCGACUUAACUAGCAGAAUAUUUUCUACAAUCUGGCUCUGAUACCAAAUUGUAGAAUAUUAGCGUACCAAACUAAUAAUAAAACUCUCUUUAUUACACACAAAAUAACUCUCAUUCACAUACACCUAUAAGACUACAAACCUUACACACUCACUUCACUAUUUCACUACACCUUAUAACACUUCCUCAUCUCACACCACCACUCACACCCUUACUUCACUAUAUCUCACUCUUCACUCUCACUUUUGCACUCUUGCACUCUUGCACACUUGGUGUGGAAGCCUCACACCUAUUUAUAGGCCUCCAGCCAACCUACAUAAGCACUUUAGAAUAUUCUAGAAUACUUGCUUCUAGAACUUACUAAAGUGCUCUAUUAGCAAGUGGUGAGCACUUUAUUCUUAGAGUUUUCUAAAGUGCUCCAUUAGCUAGUAGAGAAUUGGAAAGAGAUAGAGCAUUCUAGAAUGUUCUAUUAAAGAGAGGGAGAGUUGCCUCUUUCACUUCAGCAGUUCAUUGCAGAACACAGCAGAGUGUGCUCUUCCUCGACGCAGCGCAGCAUCAAUCUGAUCCCCUGCUUCGGCGCCGGCGGCUUCAGAUAUAUGGCUGACGCGACAAUGUUCACGUCAUCGUUCAGCGGGAAAACGUAGCUCGGCUCCCCCCACCCGUAGUCGACCUCGUUGAAGCCGAGACGGCUCCAAUCCGACACGGUUAGCGUGCCGUAGUCCAGCGGCAUGUUGUAGUGGUUGUCCUUGGCCCCUCCAUUCAUCCAGUCGACGAACCGCGUCGAGAGCGCCUCCUUCGCAUCCCUGAUCAUGGCCACGAUCUCGACGAUCGAUGCGUUGUCGAUCUCCUUGCUCGUCCUCGUGAUCCCCGCGGGGUACACGCAGUUGCCGUAGUAGCCUUCGACCGACGGCAGCACACCGUGCAGCAG
RNAcentral lists this long non-coding RNA (10805 nucleotides) under Ananas comosus (pineapple). RNAcentral's name for it is "long non-coding RNA (ACOM_LNC024800)". The record is from RNAcentral. Lineage: Eukaryota; Viridiplantae; Streptophyta; Magnoliopsida; Poales; Bromeliaceae.